Papaver somniferum (opium poppy) is the source of this 245-nucleotide long non-coding RNA. RefSeq lists it as uncharacterized. NCBI's taxonomy places the organism in Eukaryota, Viridiplantae, Streptophyta, Magnoliopsida, Ranunculales, Papaveraceae. The record is from RefSeq and is a predicted model, not a curated record. The transcript has 3 exons.
ACCAGAAAGACAUACCUGACUAAUUGAGAUUGAACUUUGGCAGGAAGCUUUUCGUUUUGUGUAAGACAUUCAUGGUUUGAUGUGUAUGGUAAAGAAAACUCCCAAGCCAUAAGUGAUGGUCAUUUAUUAUGGCAAGCUGACGGAGAUGUUCCGGGUUUCGAACUAUCAACUUUAUAAUGCAUAUGCAUGGUCCAAACUGUUCUCACGACAAAGGGUACUGCAGGAGUUGCCAUAGCUAGUGUUUU